Molecule: long non-coding RNA, 743 nt
Filed under: Vulpes vulpes (red fox)
Lineage: Eukaryota; Metazoa; Chordata; Mammalia; Carnivora; Canidae
Description: lncRNA (ENSVVUG00000017805.1)
Source: RNAcentral
UAAAGUCUUAGCAUACUGUUUUCUGUUUGGUAGGUUUCUCAUAAUAUUUCUUGAGUAAGUUGCCAAAUGUCCUGAUUCUCUCCAUGGUUCCUAUUAAAUGUGAGAAAUAAUAAGUUUCGUCACUAGUUUAAGAGUCAGUAUCUCAAAGAGGAAGAUCCAUUUCCUCCUUCUGAAUAGCAAGUUCAUAUGAAACAGAACAAAUUACUUUUUAAACUGAAAAACAUAUUUGCACAACCAUAGCUCCUUAUUUGCCCUGCCUACAUGUCUUCUCCUCUUUUUAAAGAAAAUCAGUUAUUUGGUUUCUAAUUCAUAUCCCUCACUAGAGAAUGGACAGAAUAGCAGCAUGGCUAGUCUAAGAUACCAUCUCCCACAGUCCUUUGCAUUUUCUAAGACUCCUUUAUUUUUCUUAAGCUUGCUCUGCUAGAGACAGUGACAGUAUACAGCUGCCCGGAUCAUUGUAAAUCCUGCUGUAAUCAAAUAAGAGAAAACCCUCACACCUGAGAAAGGAAAACCACUGAUUUCACAUUCCUUUUCAAGAAGCAUCAUGGAACUCUGUGGCCCAGUCCAUGUAGCUCACCUAUACAUGGCACAUUUCUCAAUAAUGCUGGGGAGAGAGGUGUCCAACACAGAGUUGCAGGACAAAUGGAUCAGAGUCUAAUCUGCUUACAACGAUGGUACUUGCACAGCGAUUUUGAUGUGAUCAGAGGAUUAUCUUCAGCAUCUUCACACACUUAGGCGAUUCA